AAAUUGAAGAGUUUGAUCAUGGCUCAGAUUGAACGCUGGCGGCAGGCCUAACACAUGCAAGUCGAACGGUAACAGGAAGCAGCUUGCUGCUUUGCUGACGAGUGGCGGACGGGUGAGUAAUGUCUGGGAAACUGCCUGAUGGAGGGGGAUAACUACUGGAAACGGUGGCUAAUACCGCAUAACGUCGCAAGACCAAAGAGGGGGACCUUCGGGCCUCUUGCCAUUAGAUGUGCCCAGAUGGGAUUAGCU
RNAcentral lists this ribosomal RNA (249 nucleotides) under Salmonella enterica. RNAcentral's name for it is "partial 16S ribosomal RNA". It matches the Rfam family "Bacterial small subunit ribosomal RNA", at positions 1 to 246 of the family's 1533-position model. Lineage: Bacteria; Pseudomonadati; Pseudomonadota; Gammaproteobacteria; Enterobacterales; Enterobacteriaceae. RNAcentral also lists the same sequence under 1 other name. The record is from RNAcentral.